CACAAAGUCGGAAGGGUCUGGGGACGGGAGGGGCCUGAAGUGAUCUCUGAGGCGUUGGGUUUUUCCUGGAAGGCCCUGCGAGGGAAGGCAAGGACCAGCUUUUAUGGGCAAAAGGAUCAUUCACCUGACCACUAUGCAUCACCACAAACUGGAAGUACCUCCUGGGAAUGCAUGCUGAGACACUAGUGCUGGGGAUGCGGAGAAGGUUAAUGUAAGACGGGGCCAAGAUUAUCUCAGGAUUUCAUGAAGAGGAGAAAUGGAGGUCAUUUCCUAGAGAUUAAUGGAGAAUUUGAUUGUGAGAAGAAAAUUGUUUAAGGAGCAGGGGUGGGUGUGGAGGCAAAUGUCACACACUCCAGAAGGUAAAGUGACCUGGCUCUUCCCCUCUUACUUCUUGGAAAGAGGGAAAGCUCAUCAGAGCCAGGACCCUGGAAAAGCGAUGUGAUGAAGAGAAGGAGGCCCUGAACAGCACCAUCUGAAAGGCAUUUCCAAGGAAGCCAGGGAUGUGACUCUGUCUUGGUUGUGGAGAUCAAAAGGUUUUGUGAAGGAGCAAUGGCUCUCUAGCCCCCUUCUGGGUGGAUUCUGGGGUAGAGGGAUCCGGUUCCUUUGAUAACUGGUUAGUUAUAGCUAUAGGGUAAAGCCAAUUGAGUAAUAUUGGUCUGGGCUUCCAGAGACACAAGGUCUUCUUGAACCAUGAGCUCUCCGAACAAUGCCCCACCUAGGCAGAGCAGAGAACCCUGAACUUUUGCCUGGAGAGAACAAACAAGUGCACGUCUCGGGAGCCACCAGACCUGGGACUACCCAUUGGACCCCUAACCUCCACUGUUCUUGGCCUGUCUCUCUUUCCCAUUAGAUUAUGAGUUCUCUGAGGACAGAGACUACCUCUUCUCCAUCCUUGUUUCCCUAGCCUAAUACACCAUCAAAUGAUGCUGUGGAAAGAAAAAGGAAUAAAUAAAUAAACCUUAGAUAAGUGGUCCAUCCACUAAUCCUCAAUUCCUGAUUAGUAAAAUGAGAAUAACAAGAGCUACCAACAAA
Molecule: long non-coding RNA, 1032 nt
Organism: Piliocolobus tephrosceles (Ugandan red Colobus)
Lineage: Eukaryota; Metazoa; Chordata; Mammalia; Primates; Cercopithecidae
Exons: 3
Source: RefSeq, a predicted model, not a curated record